UACGAAGGGGGCGAGCGUUGUUCGGAUUUACUGGGCGUAAAGGGCGCGCAGGCGGUCAUUUUUGUCGAGUGUGAAAGCCCCGGGCUUAACCUGGGAACUGCGCUCGAAACGGGAUGACUAGAGAUCGGGAGAGGAGAGUGGAAUUCCCAGUGUAGAGGUGAAAUUCGUAGAUAUUGGGAAGAACACCGGUGGCGAAGGCGGCAUCCUGGACCGACAUUGACGCUGAACGGCGAAAGCUAGGGGAGCAAACGGG
RNAcentral lists this ribosomal RNA (253 nucleotides) under uncultured bacterium. RNAcentral's name for it is "partial 16S ribosomal RNA". It matches the Rfam family "Bacterial small subunit ribosomal RNA", at positions 524 to 776 of the family's 1533-position model. The record is from RNAcentral.